This 85-nucleotide small RNA is filed under the name Flavobacterium noncentrifugens. RNAcentral describes it as "Flavo-1 RNA". It matches the Rfam family "Flavo-1 RNA". The record is from Rfam by way of RNAcentral. Lineage: Bacteria; Pseudomonadati; Bacteroidota; Flavobacteriia; Flavobacteriales; Flavobacteriaceae.
GCCCAGCCCUGAUAGUCGUGGAAAUCCUUUUUGGUUCCGCUUCUUUAGCGGGCCAAAAAGAUUGCAACAGAUAGCAGGAACAGCU